RNAcentral lists this ribosomal RNA (463 nucleotides) under uncultured bacterium. Its description in RNAcentral is "partial 16S ribosomal RNA". It matches the Rfam family "Bacterial small subunit ribosomal RNA", at positions 28 to 507 of the family's 1533-position model. The record is from RNAcentral.
GAUGAACGCUGACAGAAUGCUUAACACAUGCAAGUCGAUGGGGAAGUGGUGCUUGCACCAUGGUAACCAUGGCGGACGGGUGAGUAACGCGUAAGGAACUUGCCUGCGGGACUGGGAUAACAGCAGGAAACUGCUGAUAAUACCGGAUAAGGUCAUUAAGCUGCAUAGCUUAGUGAUGAAAGGAGACGCCUGCGGAGAGCCUUGCGUCCUAUUAGCUAGUUGGAGGGGUAACGGCCCACCAAGGCGAAGAUAGGUAGCCGGCCUGAGAGGGUGGACGGCCACAAGGGGACUGAGAUACGGCCCUUACUCCUACGGGAGGCAGCAGUGGGGAAUAUUGGACAAUGGGGGCAACCCUGAUCCAGCAAUUCUGUGUGCACGAAGACGGUUUUCGGAUUGUAAAGUGCUUUCAGCAGGGAAGAAGGAAGUGACGGUACCUGCAGAAGAAGCGGCGGCUAAAUACGUG